Long non-coding RNA from Felis catus (domestic cat), 3858 nucleotides. RefSeq lists it as uncharacterized. The transcript has 3 exons. The record is from RefSeq and is a predicted model, not a curated record. Lineage: Eukaryota; Metazoa; Chordata; Mammalia; Carnivora; Felidae.
CUUAACGACCAGCAUAUUUGCAUAACUGCCAUUCCUUAUAGUCACUCCCAAGCCUGGGAUGCUUUCUAGACACACCUUUACAGUUUUUUUUUUCCUUUCUAUGCCUCUAACAUUAUAGGAAAUUUGGUUGUGACAUUGAGCCAACAGCUACAAUAUACAGAAGACCAAAUUAGAAAUGAAUGGCCUGAUUCUUGGGCAAUGUGGCAUGAUUUAAAUCUUUUCUCACUUACAGCCAGCACACAUGUCAAAUUCUGGAUAAUUCUAGGAAGCAGAAUACUUAUACCGUGUCUCUUUUUAUAUCUUUGCAGAGUCACCCGCCAAGCCACCCAAAAACAAAACAAGGACCAGGAACUUGUCAUGACGGUCUGUGAACAAAAAACUAGAAAAAAACAAGAAAAAAAAAGGCACCAGGCAAUGAUUCCACCUCAUCUCUCAGAGAAUCCAACAGACAACCCAUCAAGAAGGCCAAGUUAUGUCCUCCAGUCACAUAUGUGGAAACUAAAGCUAACAUCACAGCCUGGGUUCACUAGUAAAACAAGCUAGGAACGUCCUACAUCUCUGACAACUGCUCUCCAUGGUGGUCGCCUCCCCUUGGACCUGCAUGUGUUUGCUCUUCAUCCCAGGAACACAUGGACUUUGGAGUAUUUUGGGAACAGAGGCUUGGGAAACGUUUCUCUGGAGUUGGGUUGUGAGUAACCCUUUUCCCCUAUGUGGUGCCACUUGUCCAGCUUUCUGCAUUUCCUUCUUUAAGUUUUCACCAAAGGGGCAAAAACCAUGUCAUCUCCGGCAUCAGGUUAUGGUGUCACAGAAGGAACAGGAGCCUCUACCCCAAGGUUAUGACCAAUUUUACCAAAGGGGUCUAAUUUUUUCACAUCCAACUUUUAAUGCUUUGGGGAUUUCAAUAUCAAAUGAGAAAAAUUCUGUUUCAAAUAAACACAAAAUACAAAAAUUAAUGUGUCCCAUCUUAGAAUGUGUGGGCAGACAAAAAGGCAUCUAUUGUGAGGUUCCAGUUAUAGGAAAAGAUACAAAGUAGCUGAGAACUUCCCUCAUCUGGGGAAGGAAACAGGCAUCCAAGUACUGGCAGCACAGAGAAUUUCCUUCCAAAUCAACAAAACAAGAUCAACACCACGACAUGUCAAAGUGAAACUGGAAAAAUACAAAGAUAAAGAGAGAAUUCUGAAAGCUGCUAGGGACAAACAGGUUUUAAUUGACAAAGGAAGACACAGAAGGGUAGCAACAGGCCCAUCCAAUGAAACUUGGCAGGGCAGAAGUGAGGGGUAGGAAACACUCAAUGUGAUAAAUGGGAACACAUGCAGCGAAGAUUCCUUUCCCCAGCAAGGCUGUCAUUUAGAAUAGAAAAUGACAGAAAGGCUUUCCAAGACAAACAAAACCUAAUGGAGUUCAUGAACACUAAAUCAGCCCUGCAGGAGACCCUAAGGGGCGACUCUGUGAGUGGAAAGCAGCAGAGACUACAAAGAACCAGAGGCCUCACCAAAAGCAUGAAACCUUCAGAUAAUAUAAUGACACUAAAUCCAUAUCUUUAACUAAUCACUCUGAGUGUGAAUAGACUCAAUGCCCAAAUCAAAAGACACAGGGAAUCAGAAUGGAUAAAACACAAAACAAAACCAAAGAACAAGAUCCAUCUAUAUGUUGUCAACAAGACACUGAUUUUAGACCCCAGGACACCUCCGGAUUCAAAGUGAAGGUAUGGGGAACCACCUAUCAUGCUACUAGAAGUCAAAAGAAAGCUGAAGUCGCCAUACUUCCAUCAGACAGACAGAUUUUAAACCAAAGACUGUAGUAACAGAUUCAGAAGGGCAUUGGAUCAUAAUUAAGGGGUCUAUCCAUCAAGAGGAGCUAACAAUUGCAAAUGUAUAUGGCCCCAAAGUGAAACGCCCACACAUAUGAAUCGAUUAAUCCCAAACAUGAACAAACGUAUACAUACAAAUACCAUGAUUGUAGACGACUUUAAGACACCACUCAUGGCAAUAGGCGCAUCAUCAAGGCAGAAAAUCAGUAAGGACACACAGAUCCAAUGUGUCAUUGGACCAGAUGUAUUCAGAUAUACAUAGAUAUAUAUUGGCCUUAAUAUAUACAUUUAUAUACAUGGAUAUCAACACCGAUAUAUUGAGAUCUUUUCAUCCAACAGCAGUAGAAUGCACAUUCUUCUUAAGUACACAUAGAACAUUCUCCAAUAUAGAUCACAUCCUGGGUCACAAAACAGCCCUCCACAAAUAUAAAAGGACUGAGAUCAUACCAUGCAUAUUUACAGAUCACAACGCUCAGACACUUGGAAUCAACCACAAGAACAAAAAUCGGAAAGCCUCCAAAUGCAUGGAGGUUACAGAACUUCCUACUCAAAAAAGAAUGGGUCCACCAGGCGAUUAAGGAAGAAAUUAAAAACCAUAUGGAAGCAAAUGAAAAUGAAAACACGCAAACCAAACACUUUGGGAUGCAGCAAAGGCAGUCCUUAGAGGAAAAUACAUUGUAAUCCAGGCCUAUCUCCAGAAGCAAGGAUGGUCCCAAAUACAGAAACUAACUUCACUCCUAAACGAACUAGAAAUACAGCAGCAAAGAAAGCCCAACGUCAGCAGAAGAAGGGAAACAAAAAAGAGUAGAGCAGAAAUAAAUCCUAUAGAAUCCAAAAACAAGGUUUCACACAUCAAUGAAUCUAAGAGAUGUGUUUUUUUUUUAAAUAAACAAAAUUGAUAACACCCUUGCCACACUUCUCAAAAAGUAGAAAGAGAGGCCCAAACAGAUAAAAUCACAAAUGAAAGACGAGAGAUCACAACCAACCCAACAGAAAUACAAUAAGAAUCCGAGGAUACUAUGAAAAGUAUAUGCCAACAACCUGGACAACCUGGAAGACAUGGACAAAUUCCUAGACACCCACACACUACCAAAAGCCUAACGGGAAGAAACAGAAAACGUGAAGAGACCCAUAACCCGUGAAGACAUUCAAUCAGUUAUUAAAAAUCUCCCAACAGAUAAGAGUCCUGAGCAGGAUGGCUUCCCAGGGGAAUCCUACCAGACAUUUAAAGCAGAGUUAAUCCUCCUUCUUCUUCUCAACAAGAUACUAGCAAACAUAAUGCAACGGUAUGUUAAGAGAAUCAUUCGCCAGGAUCAAGUGUGAUUCAUUCCUGGGCAGCAGGGCUGGUUCAAUAUUCACAAAUCAAUCAACAUGACACAUCCCAUGAAGAGAAGAAAGGAUAAGAACCAUAUGAUCCUGUCAAUAGAUGCAGAAAAAGCAUUUGACAAAAUACAGCACCCUUUCUGAAUACAACCCUCAAGAAAGUCAGAUAGAAGGAAUAGACCUUCAAACCCUAAAAGCCACAUAUGAACGGCCCACAGCUAAUAGCCUCCUCCAUGGAGAAACACUGAGAGCUUUUCCCCUGAGAUCAGGAAAACUAAGGGAUUUCUACUCUCACCACUGUUGUUUAAUAUGAUGUUGGAAGUCCUAGCAUUAGACAUCACACAACAAAAUGAAAUAAAAGGCAUCCAAGUUGGCAAAGAGGUCAAACUUUCACAGUUUACAGAUGACACGAUACUCUAUGUGGACAUCCUGAAAGCCUCCACCAAAAACACUGCUAGAAUGGAUACAUGCAUUCAGCAAAGCUGCAGGAUAAAAAAUCAAUGCACCCAAAUCAUUUGCAUGUCUAUACACCAAUCAUGAAGCAUUAGAAAGAGAUAUCAAGGAAUCGAUCCCAUUUGCCACUGCACCAAACCAUAAAAAACCUAGCAUUAAACCUAACCAAAGAGGUAAAAGAUCUGUAUGCUGAAAACUGUAGACAACAUAUGAAAGAAACUGAAGAAGACACAAAGAACCUGGAAAAUAUUCCAUGCUCAUGGGUUGCAAGA